This 468-nucleotide ribosomal RNA is filed under the name uncultured bacterium. Its description in RNAcentral is "partial 16S ribosomal RNA". It matches the Rfam family "Bacterial small subunit ribosomal RNA", at positions 28 to 507 of the family's 1533-position model. The record is from RNAcentral.
GACGAACGCUGGCGGCGUGCUUAACACAUGCAAGUCGAACGGAAAGGCCCUGCUUUUGUGGGGUGCUCGAGUGGCGAACGGGUGAGUAACACGUGAGUAACCUGCCCUUGACUUUGGGAUAACUUCAGGAAACUGGGGCUAAUACCGGAUAGGAGCUCCUGCUGCAUGGUGGGGGUUGGAAAGUUUCGGCGGUUGGGGAUGGACUCGCGGCUUAUCAGCUUGUUGGUGGGGUAGUGGCUUACCAAGGCUUUGACGGGUAGCCGGCCUGGGAGGGUGACCGGCCACAUUGGGACUGAGAUACGGCACAGACUACUACGGGAGGCAGCAGUGGGGAAUAGUGCACAAUGGGCGGAAGCCUGAUGCAGCAACGCCGCGUGCGGGAUGACGGCCUUCGGGUUGUAAACCGCUUUCGCCUGUGACGAAGCGUGAGUGACGGUAAUGGGUAAAGAAGCACCGGCUAACUACGUG